Molecule: unclassified non-coding RNA, 344 nt
Filed under: plant metagenome
Description: partial contains 5.8S ribosomal RNA, internal transcribed spacer 2, and large subunit ribosomal RNA
Rfam family: 5.8S ribosomal RNA (bases 1-105)
Source: RNAcentral
GAAAUGCGAUAAGUAAUGUGAAUUGCAGAAUUCAGUGAACCAUCGAAUCUUUGAACGCACAUUGCGCCCCCUGGCACUCCGGGGGGCACGCCUGUCCGAGCGUCAUAUCGAAACAAAUCGGGCUCACCAGACGCCCGGUCCUUGGGGGCCCCGCGCUCAGGCGCGCCCCCGAAACGCAACGGCGACCCCGAGGUCCCCCGCGGAGAGCGAACGAGGCGUUCCGCCGUCGCCCCCGAUGGAGGGACCGCUUUGGGUGUUUGGCCCACCGAACUCUGGGGCUCACUCCCCCAGAGUCACGCGAACCUUGACCUCGGAUCAGGCGGGGCUACCCGCUGAACUUAAGC